This 460-nucleotide ribosomal RNA is filed under the name uncultured bacterium. Its description in RNAcentral is "partial 16S ribosomal RNA". It matches the Rfam family "Bacterial small subunit ribosomal RNA", at positions 338 to 795 of the family's 1533-position model. The record is from RNAcentral.
CCUACGGGGGGCAGCAGUGAGGAAUAUUGGUCAAUGGGCGCAAGUCUGAACCAGCCAUGCCGCGUGCAGGCAGACGGCUCUAUGAGUUGUAAACUGCUUUUGUACGAGGGUAAACGCAGAUACGCGUAUCUGUCUGAAAGUAUCGUACGAAUAAGGAUCGGCUAACUCCGUGCCAGCAGCCGCGGUAAUACGGAGGAUUCAAGCGUUAUCCGGAUUUAUUGGGUUUAAAGGGUGCGUAGGCGGUCGGAUAAGUUAGAGGUGAAAUCCCGAGGCUCAACUUCGGAAUUGCCUCUGAUACUGUUCGGCGAGAGAGUAGUUGCGGUAGGCGGAAUGUAUGGUGUAGCGGUGAAAUGCUUAGAGAUCAUACAGAACACCGAUUGCGAAGGCAGCUUACCAAGCUACUUCUGACGUUGAGGCACGAAAGCGUGGGGAGCAAACAGGAUUAGAUACCCUUGUAGUC